This 44-nucleotide ribosomal RNA is filed under the name Thevetia neriifolia. RNAcentral describes it as "partial 18S ribosomal RNA". The record is from RNAcentral. Lineage: Eukaryota; Viridiplantae; Streptophyta; Magnoliopsida; Gentianales; Apocynaceae.
AUGUAACAAGGUUUCGCGUAGGUGAACCUGCGGAAGGAUCAUUG